GGCUCAGAGUGAACGCUGGCGGCAGGCCUAAUACAUGCAAGUCGAACGGCAGCACAGUGGAGCUUGCUCCAUGGGUGGCGAGUGGCGGACGGGUGAGGAAUACAUGGGAAUCUGCCCAGUCGUGGGGGAUAACGUAGGGAAACUUACGCUAAUACCGCAUGCGCCCUUCGGGGGAAAGCCGGGGACCUUCGGGCCUGGCGCGAUUGGAUGAGCCCAUGUCGGAUUAGCUAGUUGGCGGGGUAACGGCCCACCAAGGCGACGAUCCGUAGCUGGUCUGAGAGGAUGAUCAGCCACACUGGAACUGAGACACGGUCCAGACUCCUACGGGAGGCAGCAGUAGGGAAUAUUGGACAAUGGGCGCAAGCCUGAUCCAGCCAUGCCGCGUGAGUGAAGAAGGCCCUCGGGUUGUAAAGCUCUUUUGUCCGGAAAGAAAAGCAUCGGGUUAAUACCCCGGUGUUCUGACGGUACCGGAAGAAUAAGCACCGGCUAACUUCGUGCCAGCAGCCGCGGUAAUACGAAGGGUGCAAGCGUUACUCGGAAUUACUGGGCGUAAAGCGUGCGUAGGUGGUUCGUUAAGUCCGAUGUGAAAGCCCUGGGCUCAACCUGGGAAUGGCAUUGGAUACUGGCGGGCUAGAGUGCGGUAGAGGAUAGUGGAAUUCCUGGUGUAGCAGUGAAAUGCGUAGAGAUCAGGAGGAACAUCCGUGGCGAAGGCGACUGUCUGGACCAGCACUAC
RNAcentral lists this ribosomal RNA (733 nucleotides) under uncultured bacterium. RNAcentral's name for it is "bacterial SSU rRNA". It matches the Rfam family "Bacterial small subunit ribosomal RNA", at positions 21 to 743 of the family's 1533-position model. The record is from RNAcentral.